RNAcentral lists this ribosomal RNA (403 nucleotides) under uncultured bacterium. Its description in RNAcentral is "bacterial SSU rRNA". It matches the Rfam family "Bacterial small subunit ribosomal RNA", at positions 29 to 458 of the family's 1533-position model. The record is from RNAcentral.
AGCGAACGCUGGCGGCAGGCUUAACACAUGCAAGUCGAGCGGGCGUAGCAAUACGUCAGCGGCAGACGGGUGAGUAACGCGUGGGAACAUACCUUUUGGUUCGGAACAACACAGGGAAACUUGUGCUAAUACCGGAUAAGCCCUUACGGGAAAGAUUUAUCGCCGAAAGAUUGGCCCGCGUCUGAUUAGCUAGUUGGUGAGGUAACGGCUCACCAAGGCGACGAUCAGUAGCNGGUCUGAGAGGAUGAUCAGCCACAUUGGGACUGAGACACGGCCCAAACUCCUACGGGAGGCAGCAGUGGGGAAUAUUGGACAAUGGGCGCAAGCCUGAUCCAGCCAUGCCGCGUGAGUGAUGAAGGCCCUAGGGUUGUAAAGCUCUUUUGUGCGGGAAGAUAAUGACGGU